Long non-coding RNA from Gasterosteus aculeatus aculeatus (three-spined stickleback), 1575 nucleotides. NCBI's taxonomy places the organism in Eukaryota, Metazoa, Chordata, Actinopteri, Perciformes, Gasterosteidae. The record is from Ensembl.
GCUCAGGGCUGAUAUCCGCCGGUCGUGUAGCUGUCUCUUAAGCUCUCCAUCCUGCGGGAAAACACAAGGGGACAAUCACCACCUGCCACACGGACAUCCACCUAAACACACGGCAUCCACAUGCACGCUAAGCCGCCACGGAGCAGCAUUAGGCCGAUAAAGUUUCCCUCGCACAGCCGCCUCGGCGUUAGCUUGAGGAGCUAGCCGUGUAAUACAUGUACUUUAAAUACCUGUGGGUCCUGCUUCAUCUGGGCAACUAGUUCAGUAACUGCGGCCUUAUUACGCUAAAACAAAAGUCCCCUCAAGUUUUGUUAGUGUGAGGAAGGGAGGAACAAAGCGGAGGAGGUGGAGGAGGAGGAGGAGGUGGAGGCGACUCUUUGGCUCCUCAUAAAUAUUCAGGUCGCGUCCGGAUCGCCGCCACACCACCGCAUUAUUAGCCCGAGAAGAAAAGAGGGCUUCUUGUUGCACCGCGAACAACAACAACAAACAAACAAACAAACAAAGCCGUAGAGAUUCAGAGCACAAGUGGCGCGUGCUCGACGUUAUUAAGCGACAUCUUGUUUCUGCGGCUGCUUCUUUACGACCACCGGAGAACAACGACGGCUGGUUACCUGGUGACAUUGGAUCUCUACUUUCAGCGCCUCUUGCAGGCCUCGUACUUCCAUGUUUCCGGCCCGGCCACACAAAAAAAACUCACUUUUCUGACACUUUUUUCCGACGCCACCGACGCGAAGUUUUUUUUCCUUUUUUAAUCAGAAUAUAUAUUUUUUCUUAUUUCCAAAGCGACGAUAACAAUUGGAAGAACGAACUACUCGAGCUGACGGCAAAAAAAGCAAGUUCUCGCUUUUUUUUUUCGCAGGCUCGGGACUCAUCACCCCCACUUUCCGCCCGUCUGCGAAAAGUGCUCCAAACCCGGCGGAAAGAGCUCAGGCCCCGGCGGCUCUUCUCCAGAUUCGCGGCCAAACGUCGAGUGGUCCGACGGGGGAGCGGGGCUGCUUUCCCGUCGGUUAUUUUAAGUUGAAACACGGGGACUAUAUUCUGUCCGAGUCCGCGGCUUGAUUUCACUUUGCCUGGGGAAAAGUUGCGCUUCGGCUGUCAAUGGUAAUUCUGAGAGUUCCCGGAUGGAGCAGCGAGGGCAUGCGCAGUAGGGAGAAGCUACAACUACUUCAAGGAGCAUUUUAUAAAUGCCGAACCCCCACUGAGCGGAGACACCUUCACGCUGCACAGCAGGAAGCAAACCUCUACAGGGAAACCUGCAGGAACCAGAGUAGAUCCUUCAAGAGACAUGAUGAAUAGCUGAAUGUAAGAAGUGGACGUAGUCAUGGCGACGUAGAAACGUCCGAUUGACUCUAAAUAGACCAUAAUGCACUAAAUGAGCACAAUGUUGUGUUGAAGAAGACUUGAAACUAGAGACUAAACUCAUGUUUACAAUGUUUACUGAGGGAAUAAAUCCAGAGAGAAGUAGAGUCAUUUCCUCAUAGACGUCUAUGGGAGCAGAGGAGUCGCCCCCUGCUGGUCACUACAGAGAAGUAGAGUCAUUUCCUCAUAGACGUCUAUGGGAGCAGAGGAGUCGCC